CGUGUUGCCACAUGUCAGCACGCCCCUGGUGCUGACUCAGCACGCCCCCACGUGCUGCCAGGUGGCCUCCACGCCCCCGGCGUGCUGCAUAUACCACGCCCCCGCGUGCUGCCAGGUGGCCUCCACGCCCCCAGCGUGCUGCAUAUACCACGCCCCCGGCGUGCUGCAUAUACCACGCCCCCGCGUGCUGCCAGGUGGCCUCCACGCCUCCACGCCCCCGGCGUGCUGCAUAUACCACGCCCCCGGCGUGUUGAACUCUGAACUCGACACAACUCAAGUUCCUUCCUUUCCUUCGUUUUCGAGUUCCUCUGCUCUCAUUCUCUGAACCCUUUUCCUGUUCCCUCAGUUGGAGAAAGAAAACACGAAAAUCCCCUUUUUCCACAUCACAAAGGCAUUAAUGAAUGAGUAAGAAGCUGUAACCCUCACUUGCAGGACUAAAAUUCCAUCAACAUUUAACACUUCCACCUAACAGUAAGACUCAUUUCUCAAUUAUGCAUGUUCAUUUUUUCUCCGAGAUUGGGAAUAACUAUGUAUGCUUUUGCCAUGAACCAGGUCAGUGGUUUUGAUUAGGGCUAAUACUUCUUUCUGACUACUCAUUCCUGUUUUUAUGAUUAUGAUUCAUUUUUGAAAGGAUUUUUAGAAUAAAAAACAUCAAUUCAAUUUGUGAGUAACUUGUAUGAUUCUGCUGGCUGUAACAUUGUCAAGUUUUUUUUUUUUUAAAUAUUGGUUAUGUUUUUGCUAGGAGUAUGUGCAUUGAAUUGCAUGAUGGAGAUUUUCUCCAAUGUUGUGUCUGAGAAUUUGCUACUACGGUAGUUAUUUUUCUUUGGACCAUGCUUGAUUGAGUGAUUUCCUUGGACUUGUAUUGUAUGCAUUUGAUUCCCAGUUGUGAAGCAAAAGAAGACUUUUAUAAUAUUGUUGUCUUAUGCAAUAAUUAUGAUUCAUGCUCUUCGAUUAGGUUUGCAUAUUUAUUGAUGAUAUAUGGUGUGUGAUAAAUGCAUGAAAUUGAACAAAUCGAAAUAGUGCUUGAAGUAUAUAUUGGGCAUGUUUGUCUAAGAUCCUAGGAGAAGUACUUCUUUGUUAGUAGUGGUAGAAACAAAGCUUGUUGUGUUUAGAUAUAAUGGUUGAAGUACAUUUUAUUAGAAGUGUUAAAUUAUUUGGGUGAGAAACUUAAGAAGUACUUUUCUUGAAUUAUUUGGAAAAGGGUAACUAUUGUUGCAGUAUGUUGGCAACACAAGCAAGGCUUUUGCAGGCUUUUGAAGUUUAGAAAAUUGGCCUUCAUGAAAGAUACAAAUGAUGAUGUAUGUUGGGCCUUAAACUAUCAAGAUAGUGAGACCAAAGGCACGGAAGAGAACAAUGGAAACCAAUCAUGAAAUGAGGAUGAGUUCCGAUCUCUUGUUCAUGAUUCAGAAGAGAAUGGAAGUUUAUCUUUUGUCGAACAAGAACUAAGAAAUCAUGUUAAGAAGGAAAUUCAUGCAAUUGGCAAGGAAACUGAUUGUAAGGCUUUGAGGAGGUUUUUUACAAAAAUGCGAGAGCAAGAACAGAAUUUUUUCUAUGAUAUAGACUUUGAUGAUAAUUUUCAAGUGAAAAAUGUAUUUUGGCUGGAUGUAAAAAGUACUAAUCAUCAUGGACAAUCUGUUUUAUUUGGCUGUGGUCUACUUUCAACUUACAACGUCGAGGCCUUUGUGUGAUUGUUUCAAUCUUGGCUUCAUUGCAUGUCGGGGAAUCCUCCUAAGGGUAUUGUUACUGACCAAUGCACAUCAAUUCAAGAUGCAACCGAGUUAGUCUUUCCAACAACCCGGCAUAGGUAGUGUUUAUUGCAUAUCAUGAAAAAAGUACCUGAAAAGUUGAAUUUUUUGGCUAAACAUAAUAUGCUAGAAGAUUCAAUGAAGAGGGUAACUCAUGACACUGUGACAAGGUGAAUUUGAAGACCAGUGAAAUCAGUUCAUCAGAGAAUUCAAUCUACAAGACAAUCAAUGGUUGAGUGAGCUGUACAAUGAGCGACAUAGAUGGUCCCAAGCUUCUUGAAGAAUGAUUUUUGGGCAGGAAUGUCUACUACUCAAAGAAGUGAGACCAAACGUGCUUUCUUUGAUGGAUAUAUUGACUCCACUACUUCUUUGCGACAAUUUCUUGAGCUGUAUGAUAAGUUCCUCCAUGACAAGGCAGAAGAAGAAUUUGAAGCAGAUUUCCGGUCAUUUAACACUCUGAUAUCUUGGUUGUUUCUCUCACAAAUGAAAAUGGAGGUGCAUGGAAAGAAAGAAAAUGGUUUCCAUUUUGGCCUUCUUUCUUAUGAGUUGGAACUGUACCUUAUUGAUGUUGCACAAUGCAUUAGAUGAUGUAUGUAUAGGUAUAUUGGUAUGUGAUUAUCACUUCUCUAAAUAAUUUAAUUUCUGAAUCCAAAUAUUCCCCCACUUCUGCUUUCAA
Molecule: long non-coding RNA, 2421 nt
Organism: Arachis stenosperma
Lineage: Eukaryota; Viridiplantae; Streptophyta; Magnoliopsida; Fabales; Fabaceae
Exons: 2
Source: RefSeq, a predicted model, not a curated record